RNAcentral lists this ribosomal RNA (760 nucleotides) under Meloidogyne incognita (southern root-knot nematode). RNAcentral describes it as "eukaryotic LSU rRNA". It matches the Rfam family "Eukaryotic large subunit ribosomal RNA", at positions 344 to 964 of the family's 3401-position model. Lineage: Eukaryota; Metazoa; Nematoda; Chromadorea; Rhabditida; Meloidogynidae. The record is from RNAcentral.
ACAAGUACCGUGAGGGAAAGUUGCAAAGCACUUUGAAGAGAGAGUUAAAGAGGACGUGAAACCGGUAAGGUGGAAACGGAUAGAGUCGGCGUAUCAUUCAAUUAUUCAGUUACAUUAUUUUUAUGUUGUGACCUCUGAGCUCCAGAUUGGGACAGAGGGAAUCAGCAUAAUUUUUUGUGGUGCAUUUACUUGAUUGGUGCUUGGGGAUGUUUGAGGCAGAUUUGUUUCCGUCGUUUUGAGGCCAGCUUGCUGGUACCCAAACGGUGUUAGCAUUUUUUGUCUUGGGCAUUUGAGUAUGGCUCACGUGUAUUUAUUGGACAGAUCUGAGUGUAAGUUACGGUCGCAUGCGACACGUGCUUUUCAAUUAGUUCGGUCCAGUUAAUGCUCUCGUACUCGUUCCCCAUGUAAAAGCCGGUCAUCUAUCCGACCCGUCUUGAAACACGGACCAAGGAGUUUAUCGUGUGCGCAAGUUUUUGGGUGUUAAAAACUUAAAAGCGAAAUGAAAGUAAAUGACUCUUUAGAGUCUGAUGUGCGAUCUUGUAAAAAAGUGUAGCAUGGCCCCAUUCUAACUGUUUACAGUAGGGUGGCGGAAGAGCGUACGCGGUGAGACCCGAAAGAUGGUGAACUAUUCCUGAGCAGGACGAAGCCAGAGGAAACUCUGGUGGAAGUCCGAAGCGGUUCUGACGUGCAAAUCGAUCGUCUGACUUGGGUAUAGGGGCGAAAGACUAAUCGAACCAUUCUAGUAGCUGGUUCCUUCCGA